RNAcentral lists this ribosomal RNA (253 nucleotides) under uncultured bacterium. RNAcentral describes it as "partial 16S ribosomal RNA". It matches the Rfam family "Bacterial small subunit ribosomal RNA", at positions 524 to 776 of the family's 1533-position model. The record is from RNAcentral.
CACGGGGGGAGCAAGCGUUGUUCGGAAUCACUGGGCGUAAAGGGCGUGUAGGCGGUCAGGUAAGUGAGAUGUGAAAUGCCCCGGCUCACCCGGGGACCGGCAUCUCAUACUGCUUGGCUUGAGUACGGGAGAGGAUGUGGGAAUUCCUGGUGUAGCGGUGAAAUGCGCAGAUAUCAGGAAGAACACCCGUGGCUAAGGCGGCUCUCUAGUACGGUACUGACGCUGAGACGCGAAAGCGUGGGGAGCGAACAGG